CAGCAGCCACGGGAAUACGGAGGGAGCUAGCGUUAUUCGGAAUUACUGGGCGUAAAGCGCACGUAGGCGGCUUUGUAAGUAAGAGGUGAAAGCCCGGGGCUCAACCCCGGAAUUGCCUUUUAGACUGCAUCGCUUGAAUCAUGGAGAGGUCAGUGGAAUUCCGAGUGUAGAGGUGAAAUUCGUAGAUAUUCGGAAGAACACCAGUGGCGAAGGCGGCUGACUGGACAUGUAUUGACGCUGAGGUGCGAAAGCGUGGGGAGCAAACAGGAUUAGAUACCCCCGUAGUCCCUGUCUCUUAUAC
RNAcentral lists this ribosomal RNA (301 nucleotides) under uncultured bacterium. RNAcentral describes it as "partial 16S ribosomal RNA". It matches the Rfam family "Bacterial small subunit ribosomal RNA", at positions 509 to 807 of the family's 1533-position model. The record is from RNAcentral.